Molecule: ribosomal RNA, 278 nt
Filed under: uncultured bacterium
Lineage: Bacteria
Description: partial 16S ribosomal RNA
Rfam family: Bacterial small subunit ribosomal RNA
Source: RNAcentral
UGCCAGCAGCCGCGGUAAUACGGAGGGUGCAAGCGUUACUCGGAAUCACUGGGCGUAAAGAGGUGUAGGCGGGUUAUUAAGUCAGAUGUGAAAGCCAAUGGCUCAACCAUUGAACUGCAUUUGAAACUGAUAACCUAGAGUAUGGGAGAGGUAGAUGGAAUUUCUGGUGUAGGGGUAAAAUCCGUAGAGAUCAGAAGGAAUACCGAUUGCGAAGGCGAUCUACUGGAACACUACUGACGCUGAGACGCGAAAGCGUGGGGAGCAAACAGGAUUAGAUA